This 506-nucleotide ribosomal RNA is filed under the name Boletus sp. YM2273. RNAcentral describes it as "eukaryotic LSU rRNA". The stretch from base 201 to 355 matches the Rfam family "5.8S ribosomal RNA". Lineage: Eukaryota; Fungi; Basidiomycota; Agaricomycetes; Boletales; Boletaceae. The record is from RNAcentral.
AUUGUCGCUGGCUCUCUGCAUGUGCACGUCUUCGCUUUCCAUCGACCUUUCUCAACACACACACACCUGUGCACCUAUUGUAGGUCCUCGAAAGAGGAUCUAUGUUUUUUCACAUCACACCUAUCGUAUGUCUAUAGAAUGUAUUCGAAACCUGUCGACCAGGCUUCGCCCUGGUUGGCAGGUCGAUAAAUAAAUUAUACAACUUUCAGCAACGGAUCUCUUGGCUCUCGCAUCGAUGAAGAACGCAGCGAAUUGCGAUAAGUAAUGUGAAUUGCAGAUUUCCAGUGAAUCAUCGAAUCUUUGAACGCACCUUGCGCUCCUUGGUAUUCCGAGGAGCAUGCCUGUUUGAGUGUCAUCGAAUUCUCAACCAUGUCUUGAUCGUUUUCGAGCGCAUGGCUUGGAGUUGGGGGUUGCUGGCGGCGAAAACUUGACUUUUGGCCGGUCGGCUCUCCUUAAAUACAUUAACAAAGGGUGGCUAGUCUUUGACGUGCACGGCCUUCGACGUG